RNAcentral lists this long non-coding RNA (703 nucleotides) under Phoenix dactylifera (date palm). Its description in RNAcentral is "long non-coding RNA (PDAC_LNC000750)". Lineage: Eukaryota; Viridiplantae; Streptophyta; Magnoliopsida; Arecales; Arecaceae. The record is from RNAcentral.
AUUUCUUAAGAGCAUUAGAGGGUAUGGGUACAUAUACAAAAAGUAAGAAAAAUAAGGACAUACAUGCAAAUAAGUGUUUUAUAAGGAUAUACAUGCAAUAGCAACUUUGUGAGGCUAUUCAUGCAAUUUCGUAUAUUUAGGAUGGUAUACACUUGACCCCCCCCCCCACCAAAAAAAAAGGAAGGUUGAUGUGAUGGGAACAAAUGUCUUUUAUUUUUAAAACAAGGGAAGAUUUGUCAAAUAUUGCUGGAGAUCUUCACCUUUUUCAUUUUUAGCAAAUGUCUUUUAAUUUUAAAACUAGGGAAGAUUUGUCAAAUAUUGCUGGAGAUCUUCACCUUUUUCAUUUUUAGCAAAUCACACAUCAUUAGAAACAUGCCACCUGUAUUCUUUAGACGCAGAGAAUAAAACCUAGCUUUAAGGCUAUUGCCAGCCCUUAAUUAUGGAACCAUUGUGAAGAAAUCAUCUAUUCUUUGAUAGAAAUGAAAGAAAUCUAAACUAAGAACACCUUAGGUUUAAAAAAAUUGAAAAAGAGAAAUUUAAGAAAUUGUGACAAUAUUGUUAUUUUUAACUUAGAGUGAAUGGCUGAGGUUUAAGUUGAAGAUGUCAGGCAAUAACCAUGGAUACCAAUUAAUAUAACCUUGUGCAAUAUUCCUUUUGUCAUUCUAUGCUCUUAGUUUUAAUCGCACCCCCUGAGCCCCCGUCA